This 465-nucleotide ribosomal RNA is filed under the name uncultured bacterium. Its description in RNAcentral is "partial 16S ribosomal RNA". It matches the Rfam family "Bacterial small subunit ribosomal RNA", at positions 338 to 795 of the family's 1533-position model. The record is from RNAcentral.
CCUACGGGAGGCAGCAGUAGGGAAUCUUCCACAAUGGGCGAAAGCCUGAUGGAGCAACGCCGCGUGGGUGAAGAAGGUCUUCAGAUCGUAAAACCCUGUUGUUCGAGAAGAAAGUGCGUGAGCGUAACUGUUCACGUUUCGACGGUAUCUAACCAGAAAGCCACGGCUAACUACGUGCCAGCAGCCGCGGUAAUCCGUAGGUGGCAAGCGUUAUCCGGAUUUAUUGGGCUUAAAGGGAACGCGGGCGGUCUUUUAAGUCUGAUGUGAAAGUCUUCGGCUUAACCGGAGGAGUGCAUUGGAAACGGGGAGACUUGAGUGCAGAAGAGGAGAGUGGAACUCCAUGUGUAGCGGUGAAAUGCGUAGAUAUAUGGAAGAACACCAGUGGCGAAAGCGGCUCUCUGGUCUGUAACUGACGCUGAGGUUCGAAAGCGUGGGUAGCAAACAGGAUUAGAUACCCUUGUAGUC